Molecule: long non-coding RNA, 1723 nt
Filed under: Triticum aestivum (bread wheat)
Lineage: Eukaryota; Viridiplantae; Streptophyta; Magnoliopsida; Poales; Poaceae
Description: long non-coding RNA (TAES_LNC016246)
Source: RNAcentral
UCUAUUUCUCUCGGGAAAGAAACAGAAGUUUCGAGUACCCCUCCUAAAGAUCAAAGUCGCUACACACGGUGCAAAUCUCUCGGUCUCUCUCCCGACGCGAGAGGCGGUUUCCAGGCGGGCUGCCUCCGCUGGUCUCCAUCGCCUCCGGUAAGCCGUCGGGCUCUCGGAGGUGUGCGGGACAGUGUACGACCGUGAUGCGGUUGUAGAUAAUGUUGUUUUAGGAUUUUAUUCUGGCACUGGCGGGCAGGCAGGGGCGACGUCAAUGCUAUGGGAUAAGGUUCCCCCUGGCUCCUUUCCCGUCUCUGCGGUGCUCCCUCCGGCCGGUGGCACUGUGGGGUUAGGGAGGUUGGCCUCUCUCUUAUCCAGCGAGGUUUGGUCGGUGAUGGGGGUGCACAAUAGUAUAGAAGUUGGGAUUUGUGGAGAGGGAUUCCCAGAUCAGGUCGCCUCGGACGGCCGACAGCUGCACACUGUUGCGGGCGAAGUGGUUUGAGUUGCGGCUCCACUCCGUCGUAGGCUACCGCUGGUCAAGGGAUCACUUGGUCUACCCCAGGCCGAUGCACCGGAACCCUCCCUGGUUCCGUCUUUUGGGGCGGGACUUAUAUGCGGCUCACAAAGCCAUGGAUCGGUGAUGCUGCUCCUCAUGCCCGUUGUCUUGUGGAUGACGGCUAGCACCGGCGAGUGCAGAGAUCAGCGUGCCUAGGUGAAUAAGGAAGAUGAACUGGGCUGUAAGUUACUUUGUUUGCUCUGUCGGUGUUAUUCCCUUUAGUGUUAUCUCUGCCUCUCUAGUUCUCAAGCUCCAACGACAUGCCCUUUUUUGUGCUGGCCAUGGAGGCUAGCAGCGGCAGGACUGCCAUGACUAGGCCGCGCAAUAUUUCUAACAGUGUUGAGCUACUCGUUCCCGACAGCUCCGAUGCCAAGCUGCCAAUAGAAGCAGAGCAGGUAUGUGUGUGAUGGAUCUUUUAAUGAUAAGUUUGCUUCCUGUUCGAUUAGGUGCAUAUUUCGCAAGGUAAUGUUGUUCUAUCAUGUCUCUGAUUUUGAUUUUGAUUUUGAUUUUUUCUGCAGAUUUCAGGAUAUAGAAGGCAGCUUCAGGAAGGGGUCGCUGACGAGGUGAGGCCAUUGCGUCUAUUCUUGUGUUAGUUUGUUUCAAAGAAAUCACACUAAUUUCUCUCAGUAUACUCUAUAGAGAAAUAAGUACUGAAGCAGGCUUCACCGAAGACUACUGAUCUAGAAUUGUCUGUUGCUGAAAUAAGUCCAGGAGCUAUGGAGCAGGCUGAACAAUUUUCUGUUGAUUUUACUCAAUGGAUUGUCCCUGUAAUUUGACCAAACGUCAUGUCGCCGUGCCACUGAAGUUUUUGCACAGAAUUCUUGUCUUUUUGGGUGGUGCCAAGCUGUCUUUUUGUUGAACAAUGCCACAAUUGCAUAGUUGUAAGUUAUUUAGGAUUGUCUCUAUUGCAUACGACCUGGAGUUACAAGAGGUCCAGUACUAAUUUUGUGUAUGUAUGUACAUGUGCAGUCGCCCAUUUUCUAUACACAUGAUUCCAAAACAUCUUUUACUGUACAUUUUGUUUCUUUGCUCGGUACAAAAUGUAUUGCAAGUGUUGUUCAUUUUUUUCCCUUCUGUAAAUAUACUAGAGACCCUCUAAGGGCUCAGUUUUCUUCCCGUUGUCUGAAUAUACCCAGAUUUAUUUUGUGUGUGCGUAUUUAACAAAGCAUUUAGUUAACC